AGAGCGAACGCUGGCGGCGUGCUUAACACAUGCAAGUCGAACGCGCAGCAUUCUGUAGCAAUACAGGAUGUGGGCGCGUGGCGAACGGGUGCGUAACACGUGGAUAACCUUCCUUCAGGUGGGAAUAACCCAGUGAAAAUUGGGCUAAUACCGCAUCACAUUACGAGGGCACAUGCUCUUGUACUCAAAGCCGCAAGGCGCCAGAAGAGGGAUCCGCGGCCGAUUAGCUUGUUGGCGAGGUAAUGGCUCACCAAGGCAUUGAUCGGUA
This 268-nucleotide ribosomal RNA is filed under the name uncultured bacterium. RNAcentral's name for it is "partial small subunit ribosomal RNA". It matches the Rfam family "Bacterial small subunit ribosomal RNA", at positions 26 to 285 of the family's 1533-position model. The record is from RNAcentral.